RNAcentral lists this ribosomal RNA (253 nucleotides) under uncultured bacterium. RNAcentral describes it as "partial 16S ribosomal RNA". It matches the Rfam family "Bacterial small subunit ribosomal RNA", at positions 524 to 776 of the family's 1533-position model. The record is from RNAcentral.
UACGUAGGGUGCGAGCGUUGUCCGGAAUUAUUGGACGUAAAGGGCUCGUAGGCGGUUUGUCGCGUCGGGAGUGAAAACCUCGGGCUUAACUCGGGGCUUGCUUUCGAUACGGGCAGACUAGAGGUAUGCAGGGGAGAACGGAAUUCCUGGUGUAGCGGUGAAAUGCGCAGAUAUCAGGAGGAACACCGGUGGCGAAGGCGGGUCUCUGGGCAACAACUGACGCUGAGGAGCGAAAGCGUGGGGAGCGAACAGG